This is a long non-coding RNA of Symphalangus syndactylus (siamang), 739 nucleotides long. RefSeq lists it as uncharacterized. NCBI's taxonomy places the organism in Eukaryota, Metazoa, Chordata, Mammalia, Primates, Hylobatidae. The record is from RefSeq and is a predicted model, not a curated record.
UUAUAUUACUCAGUUGUGUAAUUAUUAAUUUAAUAUCCCUUUUUUUCCUGCUAAGCUUUAUGAGGUCAUAAAGCCAAUCUGUUCUUUCCAUUUUAUCCCUGGUGCUCAGCUCAGUGCCUCACAAAGAAAACUGAGCACUUAGCACAGGGCGUCAACACUCCCUACUGAAGGAGGAGGGCGUAGAGGCAAAGGGACUUGUCCAUGGUGUCCUGUGUUUAAGAAGAGGAGGCAAGGCUGGAACAAGACUGGAAUGGAUUUUAGAGCGCACCCAGAAUGGUGGACCCUGUGCCACAUGCUGGGGGCAUGGAAUUGAGCAAAACAGACACAUAGGCCCACUCCCUGUUACAGUCUGGUGGGGAAGACAGUGCAAUGAGCAGGUCUUAAGAUGAUGUGUGGGGGAUCUCCUGCACAGUGUCAUCUACUCAUGAGACUCCAAUACCCCCUUGCCAGUGAUGGAUUUAGGAAUACAGUUGUGAACAAUUCUCUACUGAGAUAGUGAAUUCAGCCAGAGGGCUUCCAGGAAAAAUUUCUUCACUCCUCAGAGACACAAGAAGAUCUAGUCUCUGUCUCUCCUCCCACUGAGUGUUCUCUGGAUAUGACAUGGAGCUUCGGACCUGACUCUGUCACCCAGCCUGGAGUGCACUGGCGUGGAUACAGCUCACUGCAGCUUCGACCUGCCAGGCUCAAGCCAUCCUCCCACCUCAGCCUCCAGAGUAACUGGGACUACAGGCAUGCGCCA